CGGGACGGGUGAGUAAUGUCUGGGAAACUGCCCGAUGGAGGGGGAUAACUACUGGAAACGGUAGCUAAUACCGCAUAACGUCGCAAGACCAAAGAGGGGACCUUCGGGCCUCUUGCCAUCGGAUGUGCCCAGAUGGGAUUAGCUAGUAGGUGGGGUAAUGGCUCACCUAGGCGACGAUCCCUAGCUGGUCUGAGAGGAUGAUCAGCCACACUGGGACUGAGACACGGCCCAG
RNAcentral lists this ribosomal RNA (232 nucleotides) under uncultured bacterium. Its description in RNAcentral is "partial 16S ribosomal RNA". It matches the Rfam family "Bacterial small subunit ribosomal RNA", at positions 100 to 334 of the family's 1533-position model. The record is from RNAcentral.